Molecule: ribosomal RNA, 497 nt
Filed under: uncultured bacterium
Lineage: Bacteria
Description: partial 16S ribosomal RNA
Rfam family: Bacterial small subunit ribosomal RNA
Source: RNAcentral
GAUGAACGCUGGCGGCGUGCCUAAUACAUGCAAGUCGAGCGAACAGAUGAGGAGCUUGCUCCUCUGACGUUAGCGGCGGACGGGUGAGUAACACGUGGAUAACCUACCUAUAAGACUGGGAUAACUUCGGGAAACCGGAGCUAAUACCGGAUAAUAUAUUGAACCGCAUGGUUCAAUAGUGAAAGACGGUUUUGCUGUCACUUAUAGAUGGAUCCGCGCCGCAUUAGCUAGUUGGUAAGGUAACGGCUUACCAAGGCAACGAUGCGUAGCCGACCUGAGAGGGUGGGAGGCCACAUGUGAGAAUGACACGCGGCCCCGGCCCUGAGGGAGGGCCGAGAUGGGGAAUUUACCCAAAAGGGGGAAAGCUUGCAGGACGAACGCGAGGGGGGUGAAGAGGGGCUUCGGAUGGGAAAACGUUUUUUUGGGGGAAAACAAAAUGGGGAAGUAAAUAAGCGAGUUUUACGGUACCUGAAGAAGAAACCCCGGCUAACCACGUG